AGUGGGGAAUAUUGCACAAUGGGCGGAAGCCUGAUGCAGCAACGCCGCGUGCGGGAUGACGGCCUUCGGGUUGUAAACCGCUUUCGCCUGUGACGAAGCGUGAGUGACGGUAAUGGGUAAAGAAGCACCGGCUAACUACGUGCCAGCAGCCGCGGUGAUACGUAGGGUGCGAGCGUUGUCCGGAUUUAUUGGGCGUAAAGGGCUCGUAGGUGGUUGAUCGCGUCGGAAGUGUAAUCUUGGGGCUUAACCCUGAGCGUGCUUUCGAUACGGGUUGACUUGAGGAAGGUAGGGGAGAAUGGAAUUCCUGGUGGAGCGGUGGAAUGCGCAGAUAUCAGGAGGAACACCAGUGGCGAAGGCGGUUCUCUGGGCCUUUCCUGACGCUGAGGAGCGAAAGCGUGGGGAGCGAA
RNAcentral lists this ribosomal RNA (407 nucleotides) under Cutibacterium acnes. RNAcentral's name for it is "bacterial SSU rRNA". It matches the Rfam family "Bacterial small subunit ribosomal RNA", at positions 353 to 772 of the family's 1533-position model. The record is from RNAcentral. RNAcentral also lists the same sequence under 1 other name. Lineage: Bacteria; Bacillati; Actinomycetota; Actinomycetes; Propionibacteriales; Propionibacteriaceae.